RNAcentral lists this ribosomal RNA (468 nucleotides) under uncultured bacterium. Its description in RNAcentral is "partial 16S ribosomal RNA". It matches the Rfam family "Bacterial small subunit ribosomal RNA", at positions 28 to 507 of the family's 1533-position model. The record is from RNAcentral.
GACGAACGCUGGCGGCGUGCUUAACACAUGCAAGUCGAACGGAAAGGCCCUGCUUUUGUGGGGUGCUCGAGUGGCGAACGGGUGAGUAACACGUGAGUAAACUGCCCUUAACUGUGGGAUAACUUCAGGAGAAUGGGGCUAAUACCGGAUAGGAGCUCCUGCUGCAUGGUGGGGGUUGGAAAGUGUCGGCGGUUGGGGAUGUACUCGCGGGUUAUCAGCUUGUUGGUGGGGUAGUGGCUUACCAAGGCUAUGACGGGUAGCCGGCCUGAGAGGGUGACAGGCCACACUGGGACUGAGAGAAGGCACAGACUCCUACGGGAGGGAGCAGUGGGGAAUCUUGCACGAUGGGCGGAAGCCGGAUGCAGCAACUCCGCGUGCGGGAUGACGGUCUUCGGGUUGUAAACCGAUUUCGCCUGUGACGAAGCGUGAGUGACGGUAAUGGGUACAGAAGCACCGGCUAACUACGUG